UAAAACCACCCCUCGGUCUUCAUCCCUCCCACACAUCAACAGCAUCACAGAAUAGUUUCUUUCUCUCUUUCCCCUCCUCAUUGCUAGAUGUAGAUGUAGAUGUAGAAUCCGUUCCAUAUCUUCUAGCCCCAUAGAUAGAUGUAGCCUAUUGUCUUCCAAGUUGUUCCCAGCAUGCCUCCUUGGAUGCUGAUGCGUAGAUCUCGGUUCUUCUCUGUUUUUGCUUGUUUUUCUGUGAUCCGUUUGCUGUGUUUUGGAUUUGGUUUGGAGGUGGAGCUCCUAUCAUUCCAAUGAAGGGUCUACCGGAAGGGUUUGUGCAGCUGCUUGUUCAUGGUUCCCACUAUCCUAUCUCCAUUAGAACACGAGGAGAUAGGCUUGUGGUUUGCAUGAUCGAGGAGCCGCUUCGAUCCCUCGCUGACCGCUGUUUGGAUUGAAGGGAGCUCUGCAUCUUGAUCUAUUACUAAUUAGUUUCCUCUUCUGCUGCAUGCAAGCCUGGAAAUGUUUUGCAGAUUUUUCUCCUCCACGGUCCAGAUCUGGGUGCAAGCUGUUUCUUGCGUUUAGAUCUCUCCUUGAGCUUGAACUUUUCAAGCUGUGAUUGUAUGACCCCGGUGUUUUGUUUUCCCCUCAAGGAUUUGAUAGAGGACGGAUUGAUGCCUUCUGCUCUGGUGGAAACUUUUUGGGAAGUUGGAAUCUAUAAGUGACCUAGGCUAUGUUGAAGCUCUAGUUACCUAGGCUAUGUAUAGUGCUGUCCUUGUGCUUACUCUGUAAAUCUGGCACCGUAUGUGGUAGCUUAGGCUUGUAACUGUUAGCUCAGUGUCUAUUCUUUUGAAGAGUAUGUAAUCAGUCUCUGUUUGAGCAAAAUAUGAAACAAUUUACUGAAAUUA
Long non-coding RNA from Hordeum vulgare subsp. vulgare (domesticated barley), 881 nucleotides. RefSeq lists it as uncharacterized. NCBI's taxonomy places the organism in Eukaryota, Viridiplantae, Streptophyta, Magnoliopsida, Poales, Poaceae. The record is from RefSeq and is a predicted model, not a curated record. The transcript is spliced from 2 exons.